CUCUCCUUAUUUUUUUUGCAAGCACUACUUUCUCCAUAUUGUUCUUAUAAUGGCAAGAGCAAAGUGAGCUUAGAUCGUGAAAAUCUUGAAUGGAGGUCAUCGUCAAACCAUGUAAUGGCAAGAUUUAUGACCUAAUGAGAACAACAAAAAAAUUGUAGCCAGGGUAUGGUAGUGUUAUUGUUAAUCUUUCUUUGACUUUAGCAAUCUUGAAAAAUGCGGAUGGUAAGGGGUCAUUCGCUAGAUAUGCUAUCAAUUGAAAUUUAAACUAGUGCAUUG
Molecule: long non-coding RNA, 276 nt
Filed under: Elaeis guineensis (African oil palm)
Lineage: Eukaryota; Viridiplantae; Streptophyta; Magnoliopsida; Arecales; Arecaceae
Description: long non-coding RNA (EGUI_LNC016652)
Source: RNAcentral